This 31-nucleotide transfer RNA is filed under the name Junonia nigrosuffusa. RNAcentral's name for it is "partial tRNA-Thr". The record is from RNAcentral. Lineage: Eukaryota; Metazoa; Arthropoda; Insecta; Lepidoptera; Nymphalidae.
AAACCAAAAAUAAGAAAAUUCUUUAAAAACU